Molecule: ribosomal RNA, 492 nt
Filed under: uncultured bacterium
Lineage: Bacteria
Description: partial 16S ribosomal RNA
Rfam family: Bacterial small subunit ribosomal RNA
Source: RNAcentral
AGUGAACGCUGGCGGUAGGCCUAACACAUGCAAGUCGAACGGCAGCACAGUAAGAGCUUGCUCUUACGGGUGGCGAGUGGCGGACGGGUGAGGAAUACAUCGGACUCUACUUUUUCGUGGGGGAUAACGUAGGGAAACUUACGCUAAUACCGCAUACGACCUACGGGUGAAAGCAGGGGAUCUUCGGACCUUGCGCGAUUGAAUGAGCCGAUGUCGGAUUAGCUAGUUGGCGGGGUAAAGGCCCACCAAGGCGACGAUCCGUAGCUGGUCUGAGAGGAUGAUCAGCCACACUGGAACUGGGACACGGUCCAGACUCCUAAGGGAGGCAGCAGUGGGGAAUAUUGGACAAUGGGCGCAAGCAUGAUCCAGCCAUACCGCGUGGGUGAAGAAGGCCUUCGGGUUGUAAAGCCCUUUUGUUGGGAAAGAAAAGCAGCAGGUUAAGACCACGCUGUUCUGACGGUACCCAAAGAAUAAGCACCGGCUAACUUCGUG